Molecule: long non-coding RNA, 205 nt
Filed under: Hordeum vulgare
Lineage: Eukaryota; Viridiplantae; Streptophyta; Magnoliopsida; Poales; Poaceae
Description: long non-coding RNA (HVUL_LNC017751)
Source: RNAcentral
UCGAUGUGGUCGAGAACUCCCAAUCUGGCCAACUGACGCUGAGACUCCGCUGUCGUCGCCGCUUGCAUACGAUCUUCGUUACACGCUGCUGCCUUCGAUUACUUCUGUUACGAACAGAACUUUCGCCGUCUCAUCGAUCUUGUCCGGCCGCUCGACCACCGAUCAACUCGACAAAUUCUGCUGCACCUCUAGAUCAACAUCACGG